UUCCAGAUACUCAGAGCAGAAAAAAUAAAUCCUUUUAUUUGUUUAUCUAUGAGGAUGUUUCUGCUACUGAAAAUUGUUGUUUGUCUAUUUUAAUGGAGAGGAUUUUCCAUAGAGCCAAGCACACUCUAUUAUAUGGCAAUUUUGAAUCUUAGAGAGAAGGCAAGUGAGAGAGGGAGAAAUGUAUGUGAGUUGAAAAAUAUAUUCAGUGUACCUAUUGUUUAUAUAAUACAAACUUUAUAAAGUUAAGAUUGACAGUUUUAAUCAUGGUGGCUAUUUCCAGUUUUUUAUUCUUCAAACAGCCUAAAUGUGUACCAAUGAUGGAAUAAUUAAAUAAAUUAAUGUGAUUUAUAUUCUGAAUAUUAUGCUGCAAUCAAAAUUGUGGGGCAGGGCUUCCCUCGUGGCGCAGUGGUUGAGAGUCCGCCUGCAGAUGCAGGGGACACAGGUUCGUACCCCGGUCCGGGAAGAUCCCACAUGCCAUGGAGCGGCUGGGCCCGUGAGCCAUGGCCGCUGAGCCUGGGCACCCGGAGCCUGUGCUCCGCAACGGGAGAGGCCACAAUAGUGAGAGGCCCGCGUACCGCAAAAAAAAAAAAAAAAAAAAUUGUGGGGCAGAUCUCUAUGUACUUAUAUGGAAAGGGCUCUAUCAUUAUGUUAAAAAAUAAGUCAUGGAACAAGAUGUAUAUUUUGCUCUCAUUUAUGAGAAUUGUGCAUGCAUGCACUUGCACACCUACACAUGCACACUUGAAAAUGUAUACUGGAAAGAUAGUUAUAAAACUGUUAAUACUUACAGCUGGGAAAUGUGGGGAUGGAGAAUUGGGGGCAAAGAUAAAAGAGGAUUUCUAAUUUUAUCAUCUAUGUAUUUAUUCUCUCUUCAUAUUUCUACAUAUAUUCAUUUAAUGCUUCCUUUAUUAAAAUCAAACAGGUCAAUGACACAAAAGGAAAUACACUUCUUAUAUAGGUUGUGUUUUCCUUCACUUCCAUAUGCUCCUAUAGUUGUAGAGACGUUGCCCUUUGAAAAGCAUAUAUGGGUGUCACACGCAUAAGUACCUUUAAGGAACAAGAAGGUAUCAGCAGUGAAUAAAGAGUGCUGAGCUGAGACUCUUUGAAGUGGACAGGACUCCUGAAGUGGACAGGAGAGCGUGUUCUCUAUCUAAAGUGGGUAAGUGUUCCUUAGCUGCAGGCUGUUGCUGACAUGGCGCCACUGUGACCGAGCAUUGUGAAUCUUUAUACAUAUUUCUUGAUGCACAUUUGCCAGUCUGUAGGAUAAAUUCCUAGAAGUUGUACUGCUGGGUCAAAAUAAAUGCACAUUGUGGAAUCUGAUUGAUAACAGCUAAACAGAAGUCAAUCGUUAUUACUGUUUUAACAUUACUAAAUGCUAAAGGCUUUCCUCUGAUAUCUGGGUAAAGUGUAGAUCUGGUUAGAUCUUGGUGAGGGCUCCCUAAAUAUAAUGUGGCAUUUUUAUGUAAUAAGACAAUUGGCUUUGGUUAUGUUCUCCCUAAGUGCAAAUAUAAACUGUUUAGUGUCAAAAAAUAAAGAAGAAUGGCACCCGCUGCUCCCUUCAUGUCCCCCGCACACAUCAAAGGGAGUAGAGCUGUCUGUGAAAAGUAGAUCAGACAUCUUUCACUUAUGAUGAAGACAACAGUAGAGAAGACAAAGCGGAUCUUCAUAGCAACAAAUCAGAUGCCUCGAGGAGAGCCAAGUGGGACAGAAACGAGGCCCUGUGCCAAAAAUCUGAAGAGGCAGGAAGUGCCUUGGGAUGUGCUCCAGCUGCAGCGGAAAUGUGAGGAGCCUCAAAUGGUUAAAAGCAAAUAGUCUGCCAAGAAGAGACUUGUGUAUUGCAGGAUGUGUCGCUACAAAGAAUUUCUCCAGCUCUUUGUUGUUAAGUUAUUUAAUACUGUGCAUAUCAAUUUUCUUUUUACUGCAUGAGAUGGGGGAAAGGCUGUGGUAGACAGAUACUGAUUUCACCUAUUCUGCUGAUGCUGCAUCAUCUCAUCUUGCCUGUAACAUCCCCAUGAAAACACCAUUGAAGGGUCAAUGAGCUGUAAAAUGAUUACUUUUAUCCUCCAAAAUAAUAUUUCACUAAUGUCUAUAGUUAGAAAUUCAUACAGUAUUUCAAGGGCAUAGAUUUAUUAUGAGACAUAAUCUUUGCACUUAGGCAAGGCCUAUACUUUUAUUAAAGACAAAUUUCAUCCAAAGGGCAAAUAUAAACAGAGAUUAAUGGAUUCGUCAGUUUAAAAUUUAUACACUGAGGAAAGGGGCAAAUAACAUUACUCCCACUGAAGAUUCUAUAUUCGAUAAAGUGAGCAUCGGUAUAUUGUGACCUUAACUGAAAAUGAUCAGUGGUGAAAUCUAGAAUAGUCAUAACAAUAGCUUUUAUUUGUGAAGUAUCUGCAAUUCAAAAAGCACUUUCACAAACCCUUACUUGCAAUUUAUGCCGAUUAGCAACCUUGUGAGUUUUCCAAAAUAGGUGUUAAAUUUGAUUCAUCAAUGUUACCUCAAGUCCCUUUGUAAAAAGGUCAGAGUAUAAAAUUCAAUAAGCAAUUCUGAGAUUAGAAAACUGAGAGGUUAAGUAUAUUACCCAAGGUCAUACGAGUUCGUAAUAGAGCAAGGCUUAAACUUCUGCAGAGCUCAAGGGCAGAACUACUGACGUCCUACUUGCUUUUAUCUUCUGUCUUCAGAGAGUGUGUUCUUUAUUGUGAGCGUUUUCUCCUGCUCACUCUGUCAAUAAUGGGUAUCAUGAGUUCAGAGCCACUUUUUACAAUAAGAAAUGUUUCCUCAUACAGAACUACUUACUAUACUCAGUGUCAUUUGCCAUUAGCUGUGCUGUUUGGCUCCAUUGAAGGAAAAUUAUUUUCAAGUUGAAAAGGUAAAAUAUAUAUGAAAAGGUACAAUAGAGCCCAAAUACAGGUGAAGAGAGAAAAUAAAAGAAUAGCUAUUGGCUUUUAAUGAGCUGAUACUUGUUAAGGCCAGGGAAAUUUGGUGUGGUGAAAAGAGGAUAGGUUGUUUAUCCAGCUUGGGUUUGAAAUCUGGCUUUUCCAUUUCUUGCUGUGUGAAAUAUGAUCAAGAUAGUUCUUAGCUACUUUGAGCCUCAGUAUCUUCAAUGAUAAAGUGGGAGUGGUAAUAGCUAUGUCAUGGGAUAUUUCUUAAGACCUAAAAUAAUGCAUGUAAAGUGAUUGUACUUCAUGGGUAUUUCAUAUAUUAUAGCUAUAUAACUAAUAUAGUAUGAUAUCAACUUGCUGAAUUGACUUAGAUACCAUGUGAUUUGCAGAAUACAUUCUAAUUAAUAAAUGACUUAUCAGAACUUUGGGGGAAAUAAGUGAGUAUUAAGGCUUAGUAUUCACUAAAAUCAAAUCUUAAUGUAUUAAUCUCACUUCCUUUAUAAAGGGUGAUACUAGAUCAGGGAUCAGCCAUGUAAAGCCUACAGGCCAAACCUGGCCUGCAGCCCGUUGUUGUAUGCCCUGAGAACCAAGGUUUUUACAUUUUUAAAUGGUUGAAAGAAAAUCGAAAAAGUAUAUUUCAUACCCUGUGAAAAUUAUAUGAAAUUCAAAUUUCAAUGUCCAUAAAUAAAAGUUAAUUAAAAUAGGGUUACAUUUAUUUAUUUGCAUUAUGUCUAAGGUAGCUUUCCCAUCUGGUGAUAGGGUUGACUAGUUGCAAUAGAGAUCACAUGACCUGCAAAGCCUGAAAUAUUUACUAUCAGGCUCUUCACAGAAAAUGUCUAGACCCCUGCACCAGAAUAUUAGGUCAGAGAAAUACCCCAGACACAGUAUAACUGUACUUCAGAAAAUGUUUAACAAAGCUACCUGAGAAAGGCAGCUAACACUUAAUAAAUAAACAUAAGUACUUUCCCUCUAUAUUCUGGACAUAUCCCUGGGAGGUAGCUGCCUGUUAUGAUUAUAUUUCCCAUGUUCCUUUCUUCUUGGUGUGGCCAUGUGACAAGUUUUUGCCAAUGAAAUGUGACUGAAAAUAACAUGUACCCUUUCCAGGAGAGAGUUUUUAGGAAGCAGGAGUUCUUUCUCUUAUGCAUUUUACCCAGCUGACCCUAGGGGAUGGCAGAGCCACAAAAUGUAAGGAGCCUGGGUCCCUUGAUUGGAUGUGGAAUGGAGUCACCCGCCUACCAGAAAUACCGGUUUUAGAUUUUUUUGAGUAAGAAAAAAGAAGUUCUCUUGUAUUAUCACUGAAAUUUGGGGAGUUUGUUUUAUUAGUGUUUCUCUAACUCACUCUUAAGGUGUCCUUUUGAAAAAGAUAAAGCAGUGUUGUAUGAAUAACAUACUUAAAUGGAUUUAGAGAUGAACAACUGGGCUCAAACAGGAUUAAUCAAUUGAGGCCAUCAUGGGUGGAAGAGGCAUAGUACCACAGAGGUCUUCUGUCCUUGAUCUCAUCCUAGUAAUUAGUUUUAUGAGACAAAACUAGCAAUUUUAAAUGUUUUAAGGCUGCCUUUAGAAGAGUUCUUUUGGAUUUUUUUUUUUUUUUUCCUGAAAAGUUCCAGUGGAUAGGGUGAUUGGGACAAAUAAUAGUGAGACAGAUUUUAGCUCAGCAUAAAGAAGAAUUAAAAAUAAAAUAGAGAUAGCUGCCCAAACAGUUACCUUGCAAUGUACUGUGCUCUCUACAAAGUGUUGAAGUAACUGAUAAAGAGUCAUCACUAAAUCUGGCAAAGAAAAUUCUGUAAUAAUACAGGAAUUUAAUUACUCUAUAAGAUUAAUAAUUACUCUAAUUCCUCCUAACUUUCAAUUCUUUAAUUUCAUCAUUAAAUGUUUUCUUGUUUUAAUCAUGCACUUACCAUUUAGUUUCAAGAAAUUUAAAGUCAAGGAGAUGAAAAUGCAAUUCGGCCACUUCGGUUUUCCAUAAAUUGACUAUAUGCACAGGUUUUAAAUAUACAAUUUAAGGACUCUUGAUUGUUAUUCAUUUUGUCGUUCAGUAGAUAAAGUACACUUAGGAAUAGGAAGAUAAGUAGGAAGAUUGAUGUAUUUGUUAGGAUGUAUCCAUCUGCAAGUAAGAUAAUAUCAACUAACAGGGGCUUCAAUAAUAUAAGUAUUUAAUCAUUUCACAUAAAGGAAGUUUAUACCUAUCUGAGACCAUGUGAACUAAGAGAUCAAAGUCACCAUAAUAUGCAUUAAGAUAUAUUAGUAAUUAGGUAAUAAAACAUAUUAACAUCAUGUACCUUCUGAUACACUGAGAAGGGCUCAUCACUUCUUUGUUUUUCUGGCCCAAAAUGUAUAGUCUAAUCAUAUGAAAACAUCAGAUAAACCCAAAUUGUGGGACAUUCUACAAGUUAACUAGUAGUCUUCCAAAGUGUGAAGGUUAUAAAAAACAAGGCAAGACUGAGAAGUUGCCACAGACUGAAAGAAGCUAAGAGACAUAAUAACUAAAUUCAGUGUGACAACUUGCAAUGGAUCCUGAAACAGAAAAAACGAACAAUUGCAGAAAAACUGGAAAAACCCAGAUAAAAGCUACAGUAUAGUUAAUAGUAUUAUACCAAUAUUAAUUCUUAGUUUGGGUAACUUUAUUAUGGGUAUUCAAGAUGUUUACAUGGGGGGAGCUGGGUGAAAGUUAUAUGGGAACUCUUUGCAAUUUUUGUAACUUUUCUCUAAGUCUAAAAUUAUUUCAAAAGAAAAAAUUGCUGGAGUUGGUAGUUCCAGAUGCAGUGUGGUAACUCAAGAACAUCAUCGGGUACUUAAGAUUUGUUUCUACUUUUCUAUCUGUGAUCUUCUGUGUUCCCUUCUUUUCUCUAGGCUUAUCUGAAUGCUAGAUAUUCUCCCCUGCACCUCAGGUCAACAUAGUUCCUUCCUGUUCUGUUCCUGGGCAAGAUGCCUUCUAUGGAUGAUACCAACUGGACUUCCCUGCCCUCUGGCUUCUGGUUGACUAAUGCCAGCAGCUGAUCUAAGUACAAGAAGACUGGGAGGUCAGAGUUUUUAUUCCCCUGGGUCUUUCCAUUUUAGGCUAAGGUUUGUAAGACCUGAGUUCCUCCACCUGUGUUCCUGAUGACAGCUCCCGUAGGGCACCUCUCCCCUAAGGCUAUAGUUACAACCUUCUACAUGUUCUGAUAAACACUCCCUCCCCUUGCAUCUUCAAGCCCACUAAUGAUAAUGGCUACCCUCCCCUUCUCUUUCGCAUACAUAUAUAGUGUGACCUCCACAAUAGCCAGAGAGAUCUUUGCAAAUGUAACAGAUCAUGAACUCUCCCACUAAGAACUCUCCCAGUUCAGUCAGAGGAAAAACCCUGGUGUCCACAAUGGCCUAUACUGUCCUAUGAGAUCUUCUUUCCACUUCUUUCCUCUCCUAACUUCUCUCUUCCUUAGGCACUGUCAGCCACACUGGGUUCCCUGCUGCUGCUGAAACAUACCAAGUGUGCUCUCCUCUCAGGGUCUUUGUUUUUCUUUCCUCUAUCUGGAACUUUCUUCCACCAGAUACCUUCCUGACAUGUUUCCUCACUUCCUUCCUUCCUCACUUCCUUCCUAGUAUCCUUCAGCUCAAAUGCCAGCCUUCCUUAAUCACCCUAAAUAAAACAAAAUAAAAUUCCUUCCUUAUCAUACCAUCAGCACUCCUUAUUCCAUUUUUUUCUUUAUUCUUUUUCCAUAGAACUUACUACUUAGGAAUAUAUGUGUUUUUCUCUACAUAUACUGCAUAUGCCUAUAUACAUGUGUGUAUAUACACACAUACAUCCUGUUUCUCUCAUUAGAAUAUGUCCUCUUUAAUGCCAUAGAUUUUAUUCAGUAUUAUAUCCCCAGUGCCUAGAAUGGUGCCUGGUACAUAGGAGGUAUUCCAUAAGUGUUUCUGAAAUAAAUGAAUGUAUGAAUAUGAAUUGAAUGUAAAUCUGGACAAAUGCUUUUUAAAGGUUAUUUUCAGGCUUCUCUGGUGGUUCAGUGGUUAAGAAUCCGCCUACCAAUUCAGGGGACAUGGGUUAGAGCCCUGCUCCCAGAAGAUCCCACAUGCCGCCGAGCAAGUGAGCUCGUGUGCCACAACUACUGAGCCUGCACUCUAGUCUGUGAGCCACAACUGCUGAGCCCGUGUGCCACAACUACUGAGGCCUGUGCACCCUGGAGCCCGUGCUCCGCAACAAAAGCCACCACAACGAGAGAGCUCUGGACUGCAACAAAGAGUAGCCACAACUAGAGAAAGCCCGCGCGCAGCAACGGAGACCCAACAUGGCCAAAAGGCACAUGGGUCCGAGCCCUGGUCCGGGACGAUCCCACAUGCCGCAGAGCAACAAGCCGGUGCGCCACAACUACUGAGCCUGCACUCUAGAGCCUGUGAGCCACAACUACUGAAGCCCGUGCACCUACAGCCCGUGCUCCACAACAAGAGAGGCCACCACAAUGAGAAGCCCACACACCGCAACGAAGAGUAGACCUCACUUGCCACAAAUAAAGACCUCACGCAGCAACAGAGACCCAACACAGCCAAAAAUAAAAAUAAAUUAAUUUUUUAAAAAAAGACAAUAAGAACCAACUUUCUUCUUUUGAAAAUUAAGCAUAAUUACUUCACUUAGAGGAUUAUUUCACAAUUCAGUCGAUUCACUUCCAGGAAGAUCGUCUUGGUGUUAAGCCUAGUUUGGUUUUCUUUUUCUUCUUUACAUUAGACUUACUUACAGUAGCUCUCUUUUACUAUGUGAGGCACCCUACAGGGAAUGGGGAUGCUUUGCCAAUUAAACACUAUUUGAAAAUUCAACAUGGAAAUAAAGGCCUUUAUACUGGAAA
This is a long non-coding RNA of Orcinus orca (killer whale), 7690 nucleotides long. RefSeq lists it as uncharacterized. The record is from RefSeq and is a predicted model, not a curated record. The transcript has 2 exons. Lineage: Eukaryota; Metazoa; Chordata; Mammalia; Artiodactyla; Delphinidae.